RNAcentral lists this ribosomal RNA (380 nucleotides) under uncultured bacterium. RNAcentral's name for it is "bacterial SSU rRNA". It matches the Rfam family "Bacterial small subunit ribosomal RNA", at positions 29 to 412 of the family's 1533-position model. The record is from RNAcentral.
AUUGAACGCUGGCGGCAUGCCUUACACAUGCAAGUCGAACGGCAGCACGGGGGCAACCCUGGUGGCGAGUGGCGAACGGGUGAGUAACACAUCGGAACGUGCCCAGUAGUGGGGGAUAGCUCGGCGAAAGCCGGAUUAAUACCGCAUACGACCUACGGGUGAAAGCGGGGGAUCGCAAGACCUCGCGCUAUCGGAGCGGCCGAUGUCAGAUUAGGUUGUUGGGGGGUAAAGGCCUACCAAGCCGACGAUCUGUAGCUGGUCUGAGAGGACGACCAGCCACACUGGGACUGAGACACGGCCCAGACUCCUACGGGAGGCAGCAGUGGGGAAUUUGGACAAUGGGCGCAAGCCUGAUCCAGCCAUGCCGCGUGCGGGAAGAA